Molecule: ribosomal RNA, 434 nt
Filed under: uncultured bacterium
Lineage: Bacteria
Description: bacterial SSU rRNA
Rfam family: Bacterial small subunit ribosomal RNA
Source: RNAcentral
ACCCUGGCGGCGAGCGGCGAACGGGUGAGUAAUGCAUCGGAACGUGUCCUCUAGUGGGGGAUAACUCACCGAAAGGUGAGCUAAUACCGCAUGAGCUCUGAGGAGGAAAGCGGGGGACCUGCAAGGGCCUCGCGCUGGAGGAGCGGCCGAUGUCCGAUUAGCUAGUUGGCGGGGUAAAGGCCCACCAAGGCGACGAUCGGUAGCUGGUCUGAGAGGAUGAUCAGCCACACUGGGACUGAGACACGGCCCAGACUCCUACGGGAGGCAGCAGUGGGGAAUUUUGGACAAUGGGGGCAACCCUGAUCCAGCCAUGCCGCGUGAGUGAAGAAGGCCUUCGGGUUGUAAAGCUCUUUCGGACGGAACGAAACGGGCGAGGUUAAUAACCUUGUCCACUGACGGUACCGUAAGAAGAAGCACCGGCUAACUACGUGCCA